Molecule: non-coding RNA, 76 nt
Organism: Gossypium hirsutum (cotton)
Lineage: Eukaryota; Viridiplantae; Streptophyta; Magnoliopsida; Malvales; Malvaceae
Source: Rfam
CACAUCAGCGCGACCUGCUGACGUGGAAGGAAAUCGCUUUGAUUUCCUUCCACGUCAGCAGGUCGCGCUGACGUGG